GGGUUGUGAGGUUAAGCGACUAAGCGUACACGGUGGAUGCCCUGGCAGUCAGAGGCGAUGAAGGACGUGCUAAUCUGCGAAAAGCGUCGGUAAGGUGAUAUGAACCGUUACAGCCGGCGAUGUCCGAAUGGGGAAACCCAGUGUGAUUCGUCACACUAUCGUUAACUGAAUACAUAGGUUAACGAGGCGAACCGGGGGAACUGAAACAUCUAAGUACCCCGAGGAAAAGAAAUCAACCGAGAUUCCCCCAGUAGCGGCGAGCGAACGGGGAGCAGCCCAGAGUCUGAAUCAGCUUGUGUGUUAGUGGAACGGUCUGGAAAGUCCGACGGUACAGGGUGAUAGUCCCGUACACCAAAAUGCACAGGCUGUGAACUCGAAGAGUAGGGCGGGACACGUGGUAUCCUGUCUGAAUAUGGGGGGACCAUCCUCCAAGGCUAAAUACUCCUGACUGACCGAUAGUGAACCAGUACCGUGAGGGAAAGGCGAAAAGAACCCCGGCGAGGGGAGUGAAAAAGAACCUGAAACCGUGUACGUACAAGCAGUGGGAGCACCUUCGGGUGUGACUGCGUACCUUUUGUAUAAUGGGUCAGCGACUUAUAUUCUGUAGCAAGGUUAACCGUAUAGGGGAGCCGCAGGGAAACCGAGUCUUAACUGGGCGUUAAGUUGCAGGGUAUAGACCCGAAACCCGGUGAUCUAGCCAUGGGCAGGUUGAAGGUUGGGUAACACUAACUGGAGGACCGAACCGACUAAUGUUGAAAAAUUAGCGGAUGACUUGUGGCUGGGGGUGAAAGGCCAAUCAAACCGGGAGAUAGCUGGUUCUCCCCGAAAGCUAUUUAGGUAGCGCCUCGUGAACUCAUCUUCGGGGGUAGAGCACUGUUUCGGCUAGGGGGUCAUCCCGACUUACCAACCCGAUGCAAACUACGAAUACCGAAGAAUGUUAUCACGGGAGACACACGGCGGGUGCUAACGUCCGUCGUGAAGAGGGAAACAACCCAGACCGCCAGCUAAGGUCCCAAAGUCAUGGUUAAGUGGGAAACGAUGUGGGAAGGCACAGACAGCCAGGAUGUUGGCUUAGAAGCAGCCAUCAUUUAAAGAAAGCGUAAUAGCUCACUGGUCGAGUCGGCCUGCGCGGAAGAUGUAACGGGGCUAAACCAUGCACCGAAGCUGCGGCAGCGACACUAUGUGUUGUUGGGUAGGGGAGCGUUCUGUAAGCCUGCGAAGGUGUGCUGUGAGGCAUGCUGGAGGUAUCAGAAGUGCGAAUGCUGACAUAAGUAACGAUAAAGCGGGUGAAAAGCCCGCUCGCCGGAAGACCAAGGGUUCCUGUCCAACGUUAAUCGGGGCAGGGUGAGUCGACCCCUAAGGCGAGGCCGAAAGGCGUAGUCGAUGGGAAACAGGUUAAUAUUCCUGUACUUGGUGUUACUGCGAAGGGGGGACGGAGAAGGCUAUGUUAGCCGGGCGACGGUUGUCCCGGUUUAAGCAUGUAGGCUGGUUAUCCAGGCAAAUCCGGAUAAUCAAGGCUGAGGUGUGAUGACGAGGCACUACGGUGCUGAAGUAACAAAUGCCCUGCUUCCAGGAAAAGCCUCUAAGCAUCAGGUAACAUCAAAUCGUACCCCAAACCGACACAGGUGGUCAGGUAGAGAAUACCAAGGCGCUUGAGAGAACUCGGGUGAAGGAACUAGGCAAAAUGGUGCCGUAACUUCGGGAGAAGGCACGCUGGUGUGUAGGUGAAGCCCCUGCGGGUGGAGCUGAGACCAGUCGAAGAUACCAGCUGGCUGCAACUGUUUAUUAAAAACACAGCACUGUGCAAACACGAAAGUGGACGUAUACGGUGUGACGCCUGCCCGGUGCCGGAAGGUUAAUUGAUGGGGUUAUCCGUAAGGAGAAGCUCUUGAUCGAAGCCCCGGUAAACGGCGGCCGUAACUAUAACGGUCCUAAGGUAGCGAAAUUCCUUGUCGGGUAAGUUCCGACCUGCACGAAUGGCGUAAUGAUGGCCAGGCUGUCUCCACCCGAGACUCAGUGAAAUUGAACUCGCUGUGAAGAUGCAGUGUACCCGCGGCAAGACGGAAAGACCCCGUGAACCUUUACUAUAGCUUGACACUGAACAUUGAGCCUUGAUGUGUAGGAUAGGUGGGAGGCUUUGAAGCGUGGACGCCAGUCUGCGUGGAGCCAACCUUGAAAUACCACCCUUUAAUGUUUGAUGUUCUAACGUUGGCCCCUUACCGGGGUUGCGGACAGUGUCUGGUGGGUAGUUUGACUGGGGCGGUCUCCUCCCAAAGCGUAACGGAGGAGCACGAAGGUUAGCUAAUCCUGGUCGGACAUCAGGAGGUUAGUGCAAUGGCAUAAGCUAGCUUGACUGCGAGCGUGACGGCGCGAGCAGGUGCGAAAGCAGGUCAUAGUGAUCCGGUGGUUCUGAAUGGAAGGGCCAUCGCUCAACGGAUAAAAGGUACUCCGGGGAUAACAGGCUGAUACCGCCCAAGAGUUCAUAUCGACGGCGGUGUUUGGCACCUCGAUGUCGGCUCAUCACAUCCUGGGGCUGAAGUAGGUCCCAAGGGUAUGGCUGUUCGCCAUUUAAAGUGGUACGCGAGCUGGGUUUAGAACGUCGUGAGACAGUUCGGUCCCUAUCUGCCGUGGGCGCUGGAGAAUUGAGGGGGGCUGCUCCUAGUACGAGAGGACCGGAGUGGACGCAUCACUGGUGUUCGGGUUGUCAUGCCAAUGGCACUGCCCGGUAGCUAAAUGCGGAAGAGAUAAGUGCUGAAAGCAUCUAAGCACGAAACUUGCCCCGAGAUGAGUUCUCCCUGAGACUUUAAGUCUCCUGAAGGAACGUUAAAGACGAUGACGUUGAUAGGCCGGGUGUGUAAGCGCAGCGAUGCGUUGAGCUAACCGGUACUAAUGAACCGUGAGGCUUAACCUUACAACGCCGAAG
This 2923-nucleotide ribosomal RNA is filed under the name Klebsiella pneumoniae. Its description in RNAcentral is "bacterial LSU rRNA". It matches the Rfam family "Bacterial large subunit ribosomal RNA". Lineage: Bacteria; Pseudomonadati; Pseudomonadota; Gammaproteobacteria; Enterobacterales; Enterobacteriaceae. The record is from RNAcentral.